AUGAACGCUGGCGGCGUGCCUAACACAUGCAAGUCGAACGGAGUCGUUUUGGAAAUCUCUUCGGAGAUGGAAUUCUCGACUUAGUGGCGGACGGGUGAGUAACGCGUGAGCAAUCUGCCUUUAAGAGGGGGAUAACAGUCGGAAACGGCUGCUAAUACCGCAUAAAGCAUUAAAUUCGCAUGUUUUUGAUGCCAAAGGAGCAAUCCGCUUUUAGAUGAGCUCGCGUCUGAUUAGCUAGUUGGCGGGGUAACGGCCCACCAAGGCGACGAUCAGUAGGCGGACUGAGAGGUUGAACGGCCACAUUGGGACUGGGACACGGCCCAGACUCCUACGGGAGGCAGCAGUGGGGAAUAUUGCGCAAUGGGGGACACCCUGACGCAGCGACGCCGCGUGAUUGAAGAAGGCCUUCGGGUUGUAAAGAUCUUUAAGCAGGGACGAAACAAAUGACGGUACCUGAAGAAUAAGCUCCGGCUAACUACGU
Molecule: ribosomal RNA, 481 nt
Filed under: uncultured bacterium
Lineage: Bacteria
Description: partial 16S ribosomal RNA
Rfam family: Bacterial small subunit ribosomal RNA
Source: RNAcentral